This 1826-nucleotide long non-coding RNA is filed under the name Arabidopsis thaliana (thale cress). Its description in RNAcentral is "long non-coding RNA (ATHA_LNC000336)". The record is from RNAcentral. Lineage: Eukaryota; Viridiplantae; Streptophyta; Magnoliopsida; Brassicales; Brassicaceae.
GGAAGAUCCAGCCUCGACAACGGUGGAAUUCGGUAGAAGGUCACGGAGGUCAGUGAAGCUUCGCCGGUAGUUAAAACCAGAGGAAUGUUCUAGAAACUGCAGAGGAGACGAAGGAAUCGAAUCCGUCUUGUGAACUUCCUCUUCCUUAACACCCUCCGUAAUAGCUUUGUUGUUGUUGUUAUCUUCUUCACCGUUUACCUUAGCUUUGAUUUUACUAAUCUGCAACCAAAAACUUUAAAAAUCAAACCUUUUUGCAUUUUCGUCUCUGAAGUUUCAAUUUUUAUGGUUUAAAGUCUCUAAUAUUGUACCUCUUGGAGAAGGGAAUCAUUGUCACGGCGGAGAGAAUCGAAAUUGUGGCGGAGAGAAUCGUAUUGACCCUUAAGAACACCGUAAUCUUUUUCAAGCUGUUUUGUUUUCCACCGUGCACGACGGUUCUGAAACCAAACAGCUACUUGACGAGGUUGAAGUCCAAGCUCUUGUGCUAAUUUAGUUUUCCUCUCAGGUUCGAGUUUAUUCUCAAGUUCGAAAUUCUUCUCAAGAGCUUUGACUUGGUCAACUUUUAAUCUUCUCUUCUUCUCCGAUAGACCCAUGUGGUGGUGGUUGCCGGAAUAUUCCUCGAUUAGUGUAGCAUCUUCAUCGUAACCUUCAAGCAUAGAUUGGUAAUUACUUCCGUACCCUCUUGGACUCUGUUCAUCUGUUGUGUAACCAAAUGAAUCUUGUCAAUAAAAGAAACAGUGGAAAGUGAAGAAAGGAUCACAUGGGUUUUGUCUGACAUUAGCAAAAAGUAGAAAGAACAAAGAUGGUAAUAAGAACCUGUAGAAGUGGAGAUUAGACCACACAUUGAAUCUGAGCUGCUUAGUCUCUUCAUGAUGACACUUUAAAAUAGUUCUACUCCAGCUUUUUCUUUAUUAUCAGAGAAAUUCUUAUGAAGUUUUGAAAUUACAACAAUGUUGUAAACAUAAUUGAGCUUCUUCACUUGAACAACAACAUGAACAAAACGAGGAGACUUUAGAGGCUCAAAUUAGAAAAAACAGAGAGAGGGAUAUGGAUUGAGAAAGUCCAAAAGAGAGAGAGAGAGAGAGAGAGAGAGAGAGAGAGAGAGAGAGAGAGAGAAGCUUUUAAUCUAGAGAGCAAUGGUUCUUUUCAAUAUGAACAAGUUGGUUUCACACUUUCUCUUUCUUUAAAUAAACCAAACUUAUCUUUCUUUAAAUAAACCAAACUUAGAGAAAGGGUUAAAAUGUAACUAAGGUUAAGUUUGAACCAAUAGUUAUACGGCUUGGCUCGGCUCGGCUUAGAACAAGUGGUGGAGUCUGUGAUACGUCACCGUAUGGGUUUAUUUUUGGUAAUGCUUAACCUUAUUUUUUUUAAGGGUGUUUCUAUUUUCUUAAACUUAAAAAUUCAGAGAAAUUAAUAAACAGCGGAUAGUAGAGAGAUACGUAAGAUGCAUUUAAAAAGUAGAUUUUUAAAAUAUAACAUCCUCUGAAAAACGUCAGAAGGUACGUCACAGAAGAUUUGAUGACAAAAUGAUAAACUAUAAUUUGUUUGUUGAUUAAUGAAACCAAAUGUAAUUUUCCUGAGCAAACUUAAAAUUCGAUAGGAUAAGUUAUAAAAUUAUACGGAUGGCAUAUUUAAUCCCAUAUAUUAGAUGUGGGAUAUAUUAUUAAAAACAUUAGUGUUAUAUGUUAUUGUUGGCAACGCAGGGGAGUGGAAAGAAAGACUUGUGGGUGGGGGAACAAGACUGACGCAAUUUGGGUUUGGUUCAUUGAAUUGUCCAAAAACUAUGGGCUCGAACGGCACCGUCAAAAAAUAUCAAUUCUUGUUUUGAA